CCUACGGGAGGCUGCAGUGGGGAAUAUUGCACAAUGGGCGCAAGCCUGAUGCAGCCAUGCCGCGUGUGUGAAGAAGGCCUUCGGGUUGUAAAGCACUUUCAGCGGGGAGGAAGGCGUUAAGGUUAAUAACCUUGGCGAUUGACGUUACCCGCAGAAGAAGCACCGGCUAACUCCGUGCCAGCAGCCGCGGUGAUACGGAGGGUGCAAGCGUUAAUCGGAAUUACUGGGCGUAAAGCGCACGCAGGCGGUCUGUCAAGUCGGAUGUGAAAUCCCCGGGCUCAACCUGGGAACUGCAUUCGAAACUGGCAGGCUAGAGUCGUGUAGAGGGGGGUAGAAUUCCAGGUGUAGCGGUGAAAUGCGUAGAGAUCUGGAGGAAUACCGGUGGCGAAGGCGGCCCCCUGGACAAAGACUGACGCUCAGGUGCGAAAGCGUGGGGAGCAAACAGGAUUAGAUACCCCUGUAGUC
RNAcentral lists this ribosomal RNA (465 nucleotides) under uncultured Klebsiella sp. Its description in RNAcentral is "bacterial SSU rRNA". It matches the Rfam family "Bacterial small subunit ribosomal RNA", at positions 338 to 795 of the family's 1533-position model. Lineage: Bacteria; Pseudomonadati; Pseudomonadota; Gammaproteobacteria; Enterobacterales; Enterobacteriaceae. The record is from RNAcentral.